This 253-nucleotide ribosomal RNA is filed under the name uncultured bacterium. Its description in RNAcentral is "partial 16S ribosomal RNA". It matches the Rfam family "Bacterial small subunit ribosomal RNA", at positions 524 to 776 of the family's 1533-position model. The record is from RNAcentral.
UACGGAGGGGGCUAGCGUUGUUCGGAAUUACUGGGCGUAAAGCGCACGUAGGCGGCUUUGUAAGUUAGAGGUGAAAGCCCGGGGCUCAACUCCGGAAUUGCCUUUAAGACUGCAUCGCUAGAAUUGUGGAGAGGUAGGUGGAAUUCCGAGUGUAGAGGUGAAAUUCGUAGAUAUUCGGAAGAACACCAGUGGCGAAGGCGACUUACUGGACACAUAUUGACGCUGAGGUGCGAAAGCGUGGGGAGCAAACAGG